This is a long non-coding RNA of Cyprinus carpio (common carp), 1095 nucleotides long. The record is from Ensembl. NCBI's taxonomy places the organism in Eukaryota, Metazoa, Chordata, Actinopteri, Cypriniformes, Cyprinidae.
AUGAGACUGAUCAACACUGCUCUGCUCUUCCUCCUCCUCCUCAUCCUCAGCUGUAAUGCACUGGGGCUCAAACCACAGCUCUUAGGAAGACACACAGUCCAAACCAACUCUCAGCACACAUCUGUCUCAUACAAAACUUUCUAUUUUGAUCAACAGUUGUCGAGGGGAUAUCCUUUCAGCAUCUGUUGCUGGCUGUGGAUGGAGAAAUGGAGAGCGCUGUUUGACAAGCAACCAAGAGCAGAGCUGUUUUCAAAUCCAUUAGACAGAACAAAAAGCACUAAUGUGUACAAAAUACGGUGCGAUGUUGACAAAAAACGAAAUCUCAAUCAUUUUUUGGGCUUUCUUCAGUUCUAAUACACUACUGGUUUGCAGUAGAUGAUGUUUUUUUAAAGAUGUUUUUUAAAAUAGUAGUCUCUUGUGCUCAGACUCCAUUUAUUUGAUUACAAAAAAACAGUAAAAACUAAUAUAAUGAAAUAUUAUUUCACUUUAAAAUAAGUUUUAUGAUUUUGACAUAUUUUAAAAUGUAACAUUCCUGUGAUGACAAAGCUGAAUUUUGAGCAGCCAUUACUUACAGUUUUUGCAGUAUGCAUAUAUUGAGUGGGGCUAUUCAAUAUUUAGAAUGCAAUCAUAUUGUUAGACCUGCAUUCUAAUAAGCUAUAUAACGCAGUGAAAACAUGCACUCUUAAGGUGCAUUUUUGAAAAUAAGUGACACAAUACUCAAUCAUUUGAGGUUGCACAUCGAUAAAACAAAAAUUCUGUAAUGAUCAUGGAAAAUACAUAUCGCACACCCCUAUUAAAAAACUAGAUAUUUACUCUUAUGAUGAAAACAUAGAGUAAGUGCUUCUUUCUUGUACAAUAUUUGCUACCAUAAUGCUAUAUAUGGUCGCUAAGGGAUUCGGUAUGCUUUUUAGGGUGUUGUUAUGUGGUUUCUAAGGUAUUCUAAAUGGUUGCUAUGCAGUUGCUUACUUGGAGAGGUUUUGUACCCUAUAGAACAAAGAUAUCUGGAAAAAUAGAUAUGUUCAACAUGCAGCAAAUGGUAUGCAUAUAGUACACCAGUUUAUUCCCUGUCAUGGUUUUUGAAACCCAUAUGACUUU